CUGAUGGAGCACGCCGCGUGAGUGAAGAAGGUCUUCGGAUCGUAAAGCUCUGUUGCACGGGACGAAAACCGAGCCUGAGAAUAUUGAGUUUGGGUGACGGUACCGAGCGAGGAAGCCACGGCUAACUACGUGCCAGCAGCCGCAAAUAAUAA
RNAcentral lists this ribosomal RNA (152 nucleotides) under uncultured bacterium. Its description in RNAcentral is "partial 16S ribosomal RNA". It matches the Rfam family "Bacterial small subunit ribosomal RNA", at positions 383 to 526 of the family's 1533-position model. The record is from RNAcentral.